CCAACCAACCAACCAACCAACCGGCCGGCGCUCGAAGUUGCGCUCGAAUCCUAAGCUGCGCUCGAGCAGCGCGCGUUUCCCUGCUCCUGCGCGUUCUUUCUCUCUCUCUCUCUCUUUCUCUGGUUCUGUUGUGUGUGUGUUUCUCUCUCUCUCUCUCUCUCUCACUCCUUUCCUCCGAGUCGAUCUAGCUCUCCUCCUGCGCUUCUCGACGCUCUCAGCUGCUGCCUGCCACAGCCGCAAGAGUCAGUCUCUCGACCGUCCGUCGGUCCCUCAGUGCGCGUGCGAUUCCGUUUCGCCUCCGAGAGAUCACCUCCGCUUUGUACACACAUCCGCUUUUAUAAGUACACGGAUCCAAGACGGCCUAUUAGCCGGCAUUUAAACUGACGCACGUGCAUCCUUCCUUCUCUUAGAAAUUGAAAACACAUUUCGUUUUCAAUUUCUUUCAUUUCGAAAGUGUUCGUCGCGACCAAUUCGAUAACGUUUGAUUUUUCACGAACUGUGUUUGAUUUAUCUUCGAACGCGACCAGUGGAGACACUUCCAUCGGACCCGACGACAAUCGUCCUCCUUUGCUGCUCCUGGAUAUUUUUUAAUCAGGACCACCCAAUUUUAUUCAACUCUCAAGAGAUACUACCAUUUGGAUGCCCCUGCUUUAAUUGGAACAUCGAGGAUCCUUUUCUUCUCUCGUUGUUCUUCGUAAAUUCAUCGAUCGACUAAGUAGGAAAGUUAUGGUCGAGGAGGAGCAGGAGGAGGAGGAAGAGAGAAAAAGUAAAAGGAAUAGAGGGAGAAAGGAAAAGAGAAGAAGAGUGGGGCGGAUUUAAUAAGGCUGUACUCUAAGCAGGCGUUCAUUUUUAAUUGACGUGCUGACAUUGGAACAAACACGUAUUCCGCGUGCUCAGGUACCAUCAGCACGUAUCUACGUGUAUAUACAUGGACACAUACAUAUAAAUAAUACAUUUAGAUGGACAGAGAGAGAGAGAGA
This 980-nucleotide long non-coding RNA is filed under the name Polistes fuscatus (common paper wasp). RNAcentral describes it as "uncharacterized LOC122516235, transcript variant X1". Lineage: Eukaryota; Metazoa; Arthropoda; Insecta; Hymenoptera; Vespidae. The record is from RNAcentral.